RNAcentral lists this transfer RNA (60 nucleotides) under Epipenaeon fissurae. RNAcentral's name for it is "tRNA-Trp". Lineage: Eukaryota; Metazoa; Arthropoda; Malacostraca; Isopoda; Bopyridae. The record is from RNAcentral.
GGAGCUUUAAGUUAUGUAAACUACUACCCUUCAAAGGUAGAAAAGAGUAUUCAAGCUUUA